UCAUAUUUGAAGGUCAGAAAAGAGGAAGUAAAAUUCUUGAGGCAGGGGGAAGAUAGUUCCAUACUGUGAAACACUUGAAUUUGACAGACAUUUGGGCCAAAGAGGUUCUGAAAAGGGGGAUAUGUAAAUUGCCGCAUUGGCGAGUUUGAUAAUUGUGAAUCUGAGAACGAAAAUUCAGGAAACCGUCAAAGGAACUAUAUGAAUGACAGCCUGAGGACCAACGUGUUUGUGAGGUUCCAAGCUGAGCCCAUCGCCCCAGCCCUCCAGACCUCACUGGUAGCUGCUGUUCAGAGUCACUGACGGAAGGAAAUCAAGGAGAUCUAUCUAACCACCCUCAAACUCUACACCAGGAAGAAACCUAACUACAAUCAUCUGGAGAAGGAGGUGGAGAGGAGGUAGAUGUUCCUGCAGGAGGCCAAGCUGAAGGCCAAAGGGCUGAAUCCUGAUGGGACCCCCGCACUGUCUGCCCUGGGGGGCUUCUCCCCCGGCUCCAAACUUGUGAAGGGAACCUUUUGUUUUUCAUUCAGCCUUUAUUUAACAAGGAAAACCUGUUGAGACAUUCUCUUUUGCAAGGAGACCUGGCCACGAAUGGCAGUUGAGCGAUAUAUAUGGGAGUCAGAUGGCUGAGCGAUGAGGGAGUCGGGCUAGUAAUCAGAAGGUUGCCAGAACGAUUCCCC
Hypomesus transpacificus is the source of this 677-nucleotide long non-coding RNA. RefSeq lists it as uncharacterized. Lineage: Eukaryota; Metazoa; Chordata; Actinopteri; Osmeriformes; Osmeridae. The transcript is spliced from 3 exons. The record is from RefSeq and is a predicted model, not a curated record.